RNAcentral lists this ribosomal RNA (984 nucleotides) under Phaeochroops acuticollis. RNAcentral's name for it is "partial 16S ribosomal RNA". The stretch from base 398 to 984 matches the Rfam family "Archaeal large subunit ribosomal RNA", at positions 1423 to 2666 of the family's 2987-position model. The record is from RNAcentral. Lineage: Eukaryota; Metazoa; Arthropoda; Insecta; Coleoptera; Hybosoridae.
UAAAAGGUGAUUAAUUAUUUAAUUUUCUCGAUUUCUUAGGAGUUAAGUUAAUUAUUUUUUUAAUGUGAAAAAAUUAUUAUUAAAAUUAACUUUGAAGUGAAACGUUAUUCGUUUAAGAAGGUAUCUAGUUUUCUAAGAAAUGAAUUCAAUUCAGCUAUUUAUUAUAUUUCUAUAUUUGUGUAUGGGGUUAAAUAAUUAAGUAACAUUUAGGGGGAUGAGCUUUUAGAUGGAUUGGUAUAAGGUAAUUGUUAGAAGUAGAAUAAUAGAAUUAGAAGUUUUUAUUUAUAAUAGUGUGUUAUUAUAAUUUUACUUUAAUUAAAUAUUUAUAUUACUUUUAUUUAUCUAUUAGGAUAAUAGGUUGACUUAUAAAAUUUAUAUAAUAAUGAUAAAAUUAGUAUAUAGAAUUGUGGAUUUAUUAAAUUGUUAGGUUUUAUGAAGGAACUCGGCAAAUAGGUAUUCCGCCUGUUUAUUAAAAACAUGUCCUUUAGAUUUUAAUUUAAGGUCUGGCCUGCCCAAUGUAGUAUCAAUGGCCGCGGUAUUUUGACCGUGCAAAGGUAGCAUAAUAAUUAGUUUCUUAAUUGGGAUCUAGAAUGAAUGGUUGGACGAGAUUACAGCUGUCUCCAUAAAAUUUUAUUAGAAUUUUACUUUUAAGUUAAAAGGCUUAAAUGAUUUUAAAAGACGAGAAGACCCUAUAGAGUUUUACACUAAAAUAAAUAUAUUUAGUAAGGAGUUAUUUAAUUUAUUUAUAAAGGUGUUUUAUUGGGGUGAUAGUAAAACUGAAUAAACUUUUAUUUAUUUUUUAUACUAAUUAGUAGUUUAUUGAUCCAUUAUUUAUGAUUAAAAGAUUAAAUUACCUUAGGGAUAACAGCGUAAUUUUCUUUGAGAGUUCUAAUCGAAAGGAGAGAUUGCGACCUCGAUGUUGGAUUAAAAUUAAGUUCUGGCGCAGUAGCUAGUAAUUUAGGUCUGUUCGACCUUUAAAAUUUU